Molecule: ribosomal RNA, 253 nt
Filed under: uncultured bacterium
Lineage: Bacteria
Description: partial 16S ribosomal RNA
Rfam family: Bacterial small subunit ribosomal RNA
Source: RNAcentral
UACGUAGGGUGCAAGCGUUGUCCGGAAUUAUUGGGCGUAAAGAGCUCGUAGGCGGCUUGUCGCGUCGGAUGUGAAAGCCCGGGGCUUAACUCCGGGUCUGCAUUCGAUACGGGCAGGCUAGAGUUCGGUAGGGGAGAUCGGAAUUCCUGGUGUAGCGGUGAAAUGCGCAGAUAUCAGGAGGAACACCGGUGGCGAGGGCGGAUCUCUGGGCCGAUACUGACGCUGAGGAGCGAAAGCGUGGGGAGCGAACAGG